AUUGAACGCUGGCGGCAGGCCUAACACAUGCAAGUCGAACGGAGUGGCGGACGGGUGAGUAAUGUCUGGGAAACUGCCUGGUAGUGGGGGAUAACGUCCGGAAACGGGCGCUAAUACCGCAUACUAUCAGAUGAGCCUAGGUCGGAUGAGCUAGUUGGUGGGGUAAAGGCCUACCAAGGCGACGAUCCGUAACUGGUCUGAGAGGAUGAUCAGCCACACUGGAACGUAGACACGGUCCAGACUCCUACGGGAGGCAGCAGUGGGGAAUAUUGGACAAUGGGCGAAAGCCUGAUCCAGCCAUGCCGCGUGUGUGAAGAAGGUCUUCGGAUUGUAAAGCACGUUAAGUUGGGAGGCGUUACCAACAGAAUAAGCACCGGCUAACUUCGUGCCAGCAGCCGCGGUAAUAC
Molecule: ribosomal RNA, 407 nt
Filed under: uncultured bacterium
Lineage: Bacteria
Description: partial 16S ribosomal RNA
Rfam family: Bacterial small subunit ribosomal RNA
Source: RNAcentral